Molecule: long non-coding RNA, 884 nt
Organism: Rosa rugosa (rugosa rose)
Lineage: Eukaryota; Viridiplantae; Streptophyta; Magnoliopsida; Rosales; Rosaceae
Exons: 2
Source: RefSeq, a predicted model, not a curated record
GUACCCAGCAAAUUUCUAUCUAGACCCAGCAAACUUUUUACCCUCAGUUAAAAAAUUAAAUUUGUAGUUAUACCCAGCAAUUUUUCCAACAAUACCCUUUUUAACUUGCACCCUGCAAAUCUCACUCUCACGCCCAAAACUCACACCCAGCGAACUCGACAUCAAUGAGGGUCGCGCCAAGCUCGUUCUCCAACUGAGAGGAACUCGUGCAGAGCAUCAUUAUAGAGGACGGACUCGGUGCCGAGUUGAGGAAAAAGAAGCGCAGUCUCAAACUCAAGAAUAUCUCCAUCUUAGACUUCGUGGGUCAUCGCUAUUUCCUUCGCUCUCACCCCCGACUUUGAAGUUUGUGUGCAGGAAACUUGGAAGUCAGCUGAUGUUUUUCCAAGUAGACUUGCCCUGCUCUUGGCUGCAGAGAGUUGUCCCGAAUCAAAACUGUGUGUAUGGCUAGAGGUUCUAAACACCAUGAUUGCCCCACAACCUCAAAGACAAAAAGGAAAUUUUGUUCUCAACCUUCUCAGUCAGAAGUGGAUGAUGGUGUACUAGAGGAUGGGGUUGAUACUGGAGAAGAACAAGCUUCUGAACCAUUUACAGAUGCAGAUGAGCCUCUAAGUGGUCCAUUUCCGGGAGGUCCUCAUGAUCCAUCGGUAUUGAAGAGCUUUAAAAGUCAUGUAGCAGCUGCUAUAUGUUGCAACACCAAUAAGGCGUGAAUCUUUUUCCAUGAUGUAUCAAAGUUGCACAGACUAGACAUCAAAUGUCGCUUCAAUUUUGAAUGAGCACUUUCCACCCUAGUUAAAAGUACAUAUGAACAGUAUGUGAAAAUUCAAGUAAAUUAUAUGAAACAAUAUGUAGUUUAUUAACAAAUAAAAAAUAUCAAUUGAAAAUUA